AGGUUUAUUUAUUUUUGAGACAGAGAGAGACAGAGCAUGAACAGAGGAGGGUCAGAGAGAGAGGGAGACACAGAAUCUGAAACAGGCUCCAGGCUCUGAGCUGUCAGCACAGAGCCUGAUGUGGGGCUCGAACUCACGGACUGCGAGAUCAUGACCUGAGCUGAAGUCGGAUGCUUAACUGACUGAGCCACCCAGGUGCCCCAAUAAAUAAAUAAACUUUUAAAACCAUCUGGAAGGACUUUUAAAUUCUUAAAUAUCCCAAUAUACAUUGGCCCUGUUAGGGUUCUUAAGUGUUUAUUUCUUCUUGUAUCACUCCCUGAGGAGAAGCAUUCUCUCAGCUUAUCGAUUGUGUAACUUAUUCACACUAAACCUAGAUUUAGGGUAGGUCUUAGGUUUAAUGUUUUAUAAGGAGGAAUAUUGGUCAUGGUCAUUCCAGACCCUACUUCCAAUAUUUAUCCUUUUGUCAUGGAGUACCUCAUUCCUGUCUCCUAACAUGUCUGCCAAAUUUGGUUACUGUUCUCUGUAUCUCCUCAGAGGCCCAUCUACUCAGGAAAAUCAGAACCAGAGGAGAGAAAAGAAAGGCAGAGAUUUUUGUGAAGUCUGUGCAGUGUUACAUGGCCCUGGCCCAGCUCCUGGUGGAGCAGAACUUCCCAGCCAUUGCCAUCCACUGUGGGACAUCCUGGGAAGAGAGUUUAAAGACCUUUCAUGAUGAAUUCUUGUGGCCACCAACCUAUUUGGCCGAGGCAUGGACAUUGAGCAGGUAAACACUGCCAUCAACUGCCACCUGCCUGAGGAAUCCCACACUUACCUGGAUCAGGAAGCCUGAGCAGGCCAGUUCGCCCAAGGGCUUGGCCAUCACAUUUGUGUCAAGUGAAAACAAUGCCAAGAUCCUCAGUGAGGUACAGGGUCACAUUGAGGUCAGUCGUAGUGAGCUGCCUGAUGAGAUGGACAUUUCCUCCUCCCGUGAGAAUUGAUCUCAUGAAACUGGUUCCUCCAAGUCUUCAGAGUCUCCUCAUUCCUCAGUGACUUUGUCUUGAAACAAAGUGCAGGCAGUGGUGCCUGAUGCCUAAUGGGUGCCUGACAAGUUUAUGCCCUGAUCUUGAUGCCAUGUUGGGAUGUUUUGUUUAUUUCUAUGUGGGAUCUCUUUCUUCUCUCGUCCAAUUUUCUUUUUUGCACCUCAGUCUUUCCCCUGACCCCACACCCCACAUGAACAUCUGCAUGUAUAGGGGUCUGUGUUUCUGCCGGUCUAACUUAGCCUUCCCAUGCCUUAUUGUAACUGUGCAUCUGUUCUCUGCAGUUGCAGCCAUGGGAGAGGACGCACCCAUUCGAAGAGCCUGAUGGAGGUCUCAUACCCACGAACCAUGAGAUCAUGCAUGACCUGAGCUGAAAUCAAGAGUCGGAUGCCCACCCGACUGACCCACCCAGGCACUCCUAGAGUUUAUUCUUCCUAAUUAAUUUCUUUUUAAAGAUAUUUUAAAUUUGAAUAUAGUUGACACACAAGAUUACAUUAGUUUUGGGUGUACAACCCAGUGACUCAGCUUCUGUAUACAUUUUCUUUUUUUGAGAGAGAGGCAGCCAGAGCAGGGAAGAGAGGUAGAGGGAGAGAGAGAGAGACAGAGAGAAAGAGAGAGAGAGAAAGAGAGAGAAUCUCAAGCCAGUUCAGUCCUGUGGGGCUUGAUUCCAUGACCUGGGAUCAUGACUGGAGAAACUACAGAGCCACCCAGGGGCCCUUCACUUUCUGUCUACACCAUGCUGUGCUCACCAGAGUGUAGCUGCCAUCUGUCACCACACAAUGAUGUUAUAGUCUCACUGACGAUAUUCCCUGUGCUGUGCCUUUUAUUCCUAUGACCUGUUCCCUUCCAUAACUGGAGCCUGUGUCUCCCACUCCCCUCACUCACUGUGCCCAUCCUCCCAACCCCUUCCCUCUGGCAGUCAUCAGUUUGUUCUCUGUAUUUAUAGGUCUGAUUCUGCUGUUUGUUUCUUUACUCAUUUGUUUUGUUUUUUUUAGAUUACACAUAUGAGUGAAAUCAUAUGGUACUUGUCUAUCUCAGUCUGAUUCAUUUCACUUAGCAGACAUACUGCCCUGUUUGUCCAUCCAUGUUGUCACAAGUGGCAGUACAUAUUUAUAUGUAUGUGUACAUACCACACAUCUUCCUUAUCCAUUUGUCUAUGGGUGGACACAGGUUCUAUCAGUAUGGCUUCUGAAAAAAAAAACCUCACACUCUUAACAUCAUCUGGGAUGAGGGCGCCCCCUGGUGUCUGGGUCCCUGUCCAGGUGCUGGAGCUGAAGGAGACCCUAGGGAGGGCUUGGCUGAGGAGGAGAAAGGCAGCUGGGUCUUCUCUCCUUAGUCCUGUGGCCGCACGUGGGGUGGAAGAUAAGGGGACACCCCCUCCCUCACCCCACUGCUCUGCUCUCAGGUGGAUUCUGACUGAGAAGCCUGAGUGGGGUCUGGACUGUAAGUCAGGUGGAGAUGUCUGAGCAGAAGCCUGGGUGUCAGUGGGAAGAGGAAGAAGCUUCUGAGCAGCCCUGGACUCCACAGGGGUCAGGCUCAGGGGUGAGGCAGGAUUGCAGGAGAAGAGAGUUCAGGAGCUGGUGCCAUUGCUGAGGUUUCUGUGUCCCUGUGCACCUCCUCCUCCAGCCCCUUGAUGGAAAUAACAGGGAAAAUCUCUCAGACCUUCCUUUGCUUGUGUACUCUCUGUCUUUCAAAUAAAUAAACUAAA
Long non-coding RNA from Neofelis nebulosa (Clouded leopard), 2721 nucleotides. RefSeq lists it as uncharacterized. Lineage: Eukaryota; Metazoa; Chordata; Mammalia; Carnivora; Felidae. The transcript has 4 exons. The record is from RefSeq and is a predicted model, not a curated record.